UACCAGCUCUCCGAGUGGUGGGGACGAUUAUUGGGUCUAAAGCGUCCGUAGCCGGCUUGACAAGUCCCCCGUUAAAUCCAACGACCCAAUCGUUGGGCCACGGGGGAUACUGCUAGGCUUGGGGGUGGGAGAAGCUGGCGGUAUUCUCAGGGUAGGAGUGAAAUCCUAUAAUCCUGGGGGGACCACCAGUGGCGAAGGCGGUCAGCUAGAACGCGCCCGACGGUGAGGGACGAAAGCUGGGGGAG
This 245-nucleotide ribosomal RNA is filed under the name uncultured Thermoprotei archaeon. RNAcentral's name for it is "partial 16S ribosomal RNA". It matches the Rfam family "Archaeal small subunit ribosomal RNA", at positions 474 to 719 of the family's 1478-position model. Lineage: Archaea; Thermoproteati; Thermoproteota; Thermoprotei. The record is from RNAcentral.